Molecule: long non-coding RNA, 238 nt
Organism: Oncorhynchus tshawytscha (Chinook salmon)
Lineage: Eukaryota; Metazoa; Chordata; Actinopteri; Salmoniformes; Salmonidae
Exons: 3
Source: RefSeq, a predicted model, not a curated record
AGUGUCUGUUUCUUCAGACUGACAGAUAGUUCAUUACAACACCUCUCUCCCCUUCACUCUACUGCAGGGUGGGAGAUGCAACAAUGUCCUUGAGAACAGCAGGAAGUGUGUUGAUGGUCUUUCUCUGGUCUUUAGCAGUGGUACUGGGUCAGGAUGGAUGGAGUGUGACUUACACCACUCAGAGUAUCUGUGCCUUGAAGGGGUCAACAGUGGAGCUGACCUGCUCUUUCAGAUAUCC